CUCGGAGGUACAACAGUACUUCUCUGCUGGAAGUAUAAGAUUUCUCAAUUUUCAAUCAUGAUUUUCGCGGUUUUGUAAGAAUUUUAUUACCGUGCAACUUCAUUUUGAAUUGUGCUAAAGAAGAACCUGAGGGAAGAAGGGCUGCCUAAGACUGAGGUUCCCUUUUUUAACCUCUGCAGUGAUUUGAAGAGGAUUGCCAUUGCACCCUGAAAGUUCCCCAAUUCAAAUAUGAGAUGCUAUAUUUCUGGGAAGAGAGGCCCAAGCUAUCAUUGGUAAGCAGAAAAUGAGGGAUUUAAGUUUGAUUUACAGAUUUAAUGUUUGUAAUGCUCAAAUUCAUUUAUGUUCAUCUCAUGACACCAUACCUAGCAUUUUUUUGGUUGAGGAGGGACAUUCUGUGUGGAUUGUUUAGUCAGUCUCUCCCACUGUUACCUCCUUUGAGACACUGAUAUUAGCUGAGCCCUGCUGCAGAGGAUCCAGGGAGAUAAUCC
This 488-nucleotide long non-coding RNA is filed under the name Gallus gallus (chicken). Lineage: Eukaryota; Metazoa; Chordata; Aves; Galliformes; Phasianidae. The record is from RNAcentral.